UACGGGGGGAGCAAGCGUUGUUCGGAUUUACUGGGCGUAAAGGGUGCGUAGGUGGUCCGUUAAGUCAGUUGUGAAAUCCCCGGGCUCAACCCGGGAACUGCUUCUGAUACUGGCGGACUUGAGGCCAGUAGGGGUCACUAGAACUGACGGUGGAGCGGUGAAAUGCGUAGAUAUCGUCAGGAAUGCCGGUGGUGAAGACGGGUGACUGGGCUGGUUCUGACACUGAGGCACGAAAGCGUGGGGAGCGAACGGG
This 253-nucleotide ribosomal RNA is filed under the name uncultured bacterium. RNAcentral describes it as "partial 16S ribosomal RNA". It matches the Rfam family "Bacterial small subunit ribosomal RNA", at positions 524 to 776 of the family's 1533-position model. The record is from RNAcentral.